GUGUCAGCAGCCGCGGUAAUACGGGGGGGGCAAGCGUUGUUCGGAAUUACUGGGCGUAAAGGGCUCGUAGGCGGCCAACUAAGUCAGACGUGAAAUCCCUCGGCUCAACCGGGGAACUGCGUCUGAUACUGGAUGGCUUGAAUCCGGAAGAGGGAUGCGGAAUUCCAGGUGUAGCGGUGAAAUGCGUAGAUAUCUGGAGGAACACCGGUGGCGAAGGCGGCAUCCUGGGUCGGUAUUGACGCUGAGGAGCGAAAGCCAGGGGAGCAAACGGGAUUAGAUACCCCAGUAGUCC
Molecule: ribosomal RNA, 292 nt
Filed under: uncultured bacterium
Lineage: Bacteria
Description: partial 16S ribosomal RNA
Rfam family: Bacterial small subunit ribosomal RNA
Source: RNAcentral